AGAACACUUUGAUUUCUUUUCAAUCAUAGUUUAAGCUAGGAUUGGAAUUUUGAGCUGAAAGCUAAUUCCUGAGUAGCAUUAAAUUUCCUACCUCCUUGCAGGGAAAGGCCACAAUAUUCUUAAAUUUUAACUUGUGGGCGAAAAAUUGCAAAGCUAAAAUGGGUUUUGAGGAAACAAAAAAUCAAGAAACAAUGAAACAGAAAAAAUAUUAGGUGGAGCUACAGAUCUACAAGUAUUGAAAUCCAAGGACAGAAGAAGAGUGGCUUAUGGAUGAUACAAUAGAGAAAAGGAAACAAAAUACAGAGGCAACAGGACUAUUUUUGCUGUAACCUGGGGAUCUUGCCCAUUUCAAAUGAGCCAAACUAAAGUUAGAUGUGUUUAUGCCCUGGGAAAAGUGAAAGGUGACUCACGGCCAAUAUGGAAGGAGGAUGGUGGUUUUAUGCCCAGUUUCCCCAUCGUCUGGUGAGAUAUUCUGAAGCAGGCUACAAUAGGGUUUCUCAGAGUGUUCUCAGUUCAUUUGAAUUCCAGAUUUUCAUAGUGGUA
This 543-nucleotide long non-coding RNA is filed under the name Homo sapiens (human). Its description in RNAcentral is "HSALNT0357970". Lineage: Eukaryota; Metazoa; Chordata; Mammalia; Primates; Hominidae. The record is from RNAcentral.